This 497-nucleotide ribosomal RNA is filed under the name uncultured bacterium. RNAcentral's name for it is "partial 16S ribosomal RNA". It matches the Rfam family "Bacterial small subunit ribosomal RNA", at positions 28 to 507 of the family's 1533-position model. The record is from RNAcentral.
GAUGAACGCUGGCGGCGUGCCUAAUACAUGCAAGUCGAGCGAACAGACGAGGAGCUUGCUCCUCUGACGUUAGCGGCGGACGGGUGAGUAACACGUGGAUAACCUACCUAUAAGACUGGGAUAACUUCGGGAAACCGGAGCUAAUACCGGAUAAUAUAUUGAACCGCAUGGUUCAAUAGUGAAAGACGGUUUUGCUGUCACUUAUAGAUGGAUCCGUGCCGCAUUAGCUAGUUGGUAAGGUAACGGCUUACCAAGGCAACGAUGCGUAGCCGACCUGAGAGGGUGAUCGGCCACACUGGAACUGAGACACGGUCCAGACUCCUACGGGAGGCAGCAGUAGGGAAUCUUCCGCAAUGGGCGAAAGCUUGACGGAGCAACGCCGCGUGAGUGAUGAAGGUCUUCGGAUCGAAAAACUCUGUUAUUAGGGAAGAACAAAUGUGUAAGUAACUAUGCACGUCUUGACGGUACCUAAUCAGAAAGCCACGGCUAACUACGUG